This 69-nucleotide transfer RNA is filed under the name Bothus myriaster (Indo-Pacific oval flounder). RNAcentral describes it as "tRNA-Ala". It matches the Rfam family "tRNA". From Rfam's summary of the family: Transfer RNA (tRNA) molecules are approximately 80 nucleotides in length. Their secondary structure includes four short double-helical elements and three loops (D, anti-codon, and T loops). The record is from RNAcentral. Lineage: Eukaryota; Metazoa; Chordata; Actinopteri; Pleuronectiformes; Bothidae.
AAGGCCUUAGCUUAAUUAAAGCACUUGCUUUGCAUGCAAGAGAUGUCGGAUAGUCCUCGGCAGGCUUUA